CAGGCCUAACACAUGCAAGUCGAACGAAGGCUUCGGCCUUAGUGGCGCACGGGUGCGUAACGCGUGGGAAUCUGCCCUUGGGUUCGGAAUAACAGUUAGAAAUGACUGCUAAUACCGGAUGAUGACGUAAGUCCAAAGAUUUAUCGCCCAGGGAUGAGCCCGCGUAGGAUUAGCUAGUUGGUGAGGUAAAGGCUCACCAAGGCGACGAUCCUUAGCUGGUCUGAGAGGAUGAUCAGCCACACUGGGACUGAGACACGGCCCAGACUCCUACGGGAGGCAGCAGUGGGGAAUAUUGGACAAUGGGCGAAAGCCUGAUCCAGCAAUGCCGCGUGAGUGAUGAAGGCCUUAGGGUUGUAAAGCUCUUUUACCCGGGAUGAUAAUGACAGUACCGGGAGAAUAAGCUCCG
Molecule: ribosomal RNA, 406 nt
Filed under: uncultured bacterium
Lineage: Bacteria
Description: bacterial SSU rRNA
Rfam family: Bacterial small subunit ribosomal RNA
Source: RNAcentral